GCCCUUUUCCGGUUGAUCCUGCCGGAGGCCAUUGCUAUCGGAGUCCGACUUAGCCAUGCUAGUCGUACGAGUUCGUACUCGUGGCGAAUAGCUCAGUAACACGUGGCCAAGCUACCCUGUGGACCAGGAUACUCUCGGGAAACUGAGGCUAAUCCUGGAUACAGCUUCCAGCCUGGAGUGGCGGAAGCUGGAAAUGCUCCGGCGCCACAGGAUGCGGCUGCGGCCGAUUAGGUAGACGGUGGGGUAACGGCCCACCGUGCCCAUAAUCGGUACGGGUCAUGGAAGUGAGAACCCGGAGACGGUAUUUGAGACAAGAUACCGGGCCCUACGGGGCGCAGCAGGCGCGAAACCUUUACACUGCACGCCAGUGCGAUAGGGGGACUCCGAGUGCGAGGGCAUACAGUCCUCGCUUUUCUAGACCGUAAGGAGGUCCAGGAACAAGGGCUGGGCAAGACCGGUGCCAGCCGCCGCGGUAAUACCGGCAGCCCGAGUGAUGGCCAAUAUUAUUGGGCCUAAAGCGUCCGUAGCCGGCCGGACAAGUCCGUUGGGAAAUCCAUGCGCUUAACGCGUGGGCGUCCAGCGGAAACUGUCUGGCUUGGGGCCGGAGGACCUGAGGGGUACGUCCGGGGUAGGAGUGAAAUCCCGUAAUCCUGGACGGACCACCGGUGGCGAAAGCGCCUCA
This 682-nucleotide ribosomal RNA is filed under the name uncultured archaeon. RNAcentral's name for it is "bacterial SSU rRNA". It matches the Rfam family "Archaeal small subunit ribosomal RNA", at positions 1 to 679 of the family's 1478-position model. The record is from RNAcentral.